GUGUCUGAAGUCGAAGCGGUCGAGACACUGGUUUGUGAAACUAGCCAUUAGCGAGUUCGAGUCUCGUCGGACACC
RNAcentral lists this transfer RNA (75 nucleotides) under Scytonema millei VB511283. Its description in RNAcentral is "tRNA-His". It matches the Rfam family "tRNA". Rfam says of the family: Transfer RNA (tRNA) molecules are approximately 80 nucleotides in length. Their secondary structure includes four short double-helical elements and three loops (D, anti-codon, and T loops). The record is from RNAcentral. Lineage: Bacteria; Bacillati; Cyanobacteriota; Cyanophyceae; Nostocales; Scytonemataceae.